UGAGCAAUCUGCCCUUCUCAUCGGAAUAAGCGUUGGAACGACGUCUAAUGCCGAAUACGACCUCCUUUCGCAUGAUCGGAGGUGGAAAGCUCCGGCGGAGAAGGAUGAGCUCGCGGCCUAUCAGCUAGUUGGUGUGGGUAAUGGCCCACCAAGGCGACGACGGGUAGCCGGCCUGAGAGGGUGACCGGCCACACUGGGACUGAGACACGGCCCAGACUCCUACGGGAGCAG
RNAcentral lists this ribosomal RNA (231 nucleotides) under uncultured bacterium. RNAcentral describes it as "partial 16S ribosomal RNA". It matches the Rfam family "Bacterial small subunit ribosomal RNA", at positions 118 to 347 of the family's 1533-position model. The record is from RNAcentral.